AUACAUGCAAGUAGACNGCUGAAGAGAGGAGCUGCUCUUUCUUGGAUGAGUUGCGAACGGGUGAGUAACGCGUAGGUAACUGCCUUGUAGCGGGGGAUAACUAUUGGAAACGAUAGCUAAUACCGCAUAACAAUGGAUGACACAUGUCAUUUAUUUGAAAGGGGCAAAUGCUCCACUACAAGAUGGACCUGCGUUGUAUUAGCUAGUAGGUGAGGUAACGGCUCACCUAGGCGACGAUACAUAGCCGACCUGAGAGGGUGAUCGGCCACACUGGGACUGAGACACGGCCCAGACUCCUACGGGAGGCAGCAGUAGGGAAUCUUCGGCAAUGGGGGCAACCCUGACCGAGCAACGCCGCGUGAGUGAAGAAGGUUUUCGGAUCGUAAAGCUCUGUUGUAAGUCAAGAACGAGUGUGAGAGUGGAAAGUUCACACUGUGACGGUAGCUUACCAGAAAGGGACGGCUAACUACGUGCCAGCAGCCGCGGUAAUACGUAGGUCCCGAGCGUUGUCCGGAUUUAUUGGGCGUAAAGCGAGCGCAGGCGGUUUGGUAAGUCUGAAGUUAAAGGCUGUGGCUCAACCAUAGUUCGCUUUGGAAACUGUCAAACUUGAGUGCAGAAGGGGAGAGUGGAAUUCCAUGUGUAGCGGUGAAAUGCGUAGAUAUAUGGAGGAACACCGGUGGCGAAAGCGGCUCUCUGGUCUGUAACUGACGCUGAGGCUCGAAAGCGUGGGGAGCGAACAGGAUUAGAUACCCUGGUAGUCCACGCCGUAAACGAUGAGUGCUAGGUGUUGGAUCCUUUCCGGGAUUCAGUGCCGCAGCUAACGCAUUAAGCACUCCGCCUGGGGAGUACGACCGCAAGGUUGAACUAAAGGAAUUGACGGGGGCCCGCACAAGCGGUGGAGCAUGUGGUUUAAUUCGAAGCAACGCGAAGAACCUUACCAGGUCUUGACAUCCCGAUGCUAUUUCUAGAGAUAGAAAGUUACUUCGGUACAUCGGUGACAGGUGGUGCAUGGUUGUCGUCAGCUCGUGUCGUGAGAUGUUGGGUUAAGUCCCGCAACGAGCGCAACCCCUAUUGUUAGUUGCCAUCAUUCAGUUGGGCACUCUAGCGAGACUGCCGGUAAUAAACCGGAGGAAGGUGGGGAUGACGUCAAAUCAUCAUGCCCCUUAUGACCUGGGCUACACACGUGCUACAAUGGUUGGUACAACGAGUUGCGAGUCGGUGACGGCAAGCUAAUCUCUUAAAGCCAAUCUCAGUUCGGAUUGUAGGCUGCAACUCGCCUACAUGAAGUCGGAAUCGCUAGUAAUCGCGGAUCAGCACGCCGCGGUGAAUACGUUCCCGGGCCUUGUACACACCGCCCGUCACACCACGAGAGUUUGUAACCCCGAAAGUCGGUGAGGUAACCUUUGGAGCCUGCCGCCUAAGGUGGGAUAGAUGAU
This 1436-nucleotide ribosomal RNA is filed under the name uncultured bacterium. RNAcentral's name for it is "bacterial SSU rRNA". It matches the Rfam family "Bacterial small subunit ribosomal RNA". The record is from RNAcentral.